UGGGGAAUAUUGCACAAUGGGCGAAAGCCUGAUGCAGCGACGCCGCGUGAGGGAUGACGGCCUUCGGGUUGUAAACCUCUUUCAGCAGGGACGAAGCGCAAGUGACGGUACCUGCAGAAGAAGCACCGGCUAACUACGUGCCAGCAGCCGCGGUAAUACGUAGGGUGCAAGCGUUGUCCGGAAUUACUGGGCGUAAAGAGUUCGUAGGCGGUUUGUCGCGUCGUUUGUGACAACCAGCAGCUCAACUGCUCGCUUGCAGGCGAUACGGGCAGACUUACGUACUGCAGGUGAGACUUGAAUUCCUGGUGUAGCGGUGAAAUGCGCAGAUAUCAGGAGGAACUCCGGUGGCGACUGCUGGUCUCUCGGCAGUAACUGACGCUGAGGAACGAAAGCGUGGGUAGCGAACAGG
This 409-nucleotide ribosomal RNA is filed under the name bacterium. Its description in RNAcentral is "partial 16S ribosomal RNA". It matches the Rfam family "Bacterial small subunit ribosomal RNA", at positions 355 to 776 of the family's 1533-position model. The record is from RNAcentral.